GUCCUUUUGUUUUAUAUUUAAGGUUUAACCUGCCCACUGAAUAAUUUAAAUGGCCGCAGUAUUUUAACUGUGCAAAGGUAGCAUAAUCAUUAGUUUUUUAAUUAAAAGCUUGUAUGAAAGGUUGGACGAGGUAAAAACUGUCUCUAUUUAAUUUAUUAUAAAAUUUAAUUUUUAAGUUAAAAAGCUUAAAUUUUUUUAAAAGACGAGAAGACCCUAUAGAUCUUUAUAUUUAUUAUUUUAUUUUUAAUUAAGAUUUAUUUAAAUUUUAUUAUAUUAAAUAUUUUAUUGGGGUAAUAAGAAGAUUAAAAAAAUUCUUUUUUAUAUUAUUCAUUGAUUAAUGUUUUAAUGAUCCAAUUUUAUUGAUUAUAAGAUUAAGUUACCUUAGGGAUAACAGCGUAAUUUUUUUAGAGAGUUCAUAUCGAUAAAAAAGUUUGCGACCUCGAUGUUGGAUUAAAGAUUAAUUUAGGUGUAGAUGUUUAAAUUUUUGGUCUGUUCGACCAUUGAAUCUUUACAUGAUCUGAGUUCAGACCGGUGUAAGCCAGGUCGGUUUCUAUCUUUAAUAAUUUAAUAUAUUUUAGUACGAAAGGACCAAAUAUAUAAUAUAUAAAUAUUUAAUUGUUUUGAAUAUUAUUAAUUAUUUUGGCAGAUUAGUGCAAUGAAUUUAGAAUUCAUAUAUGUAAAUUUUUACAAGUAAUACUUGUUUUAUAUAGAUAUAAUAUUUUCUUUUAUUUGUAUAUUAUUAUUAAUUAUUUGUGUAUUA
Molecule: ribosomal RNA, 760 nt
Filed under: Mecodema alternans
Lineage: Eukaryota; Metazoa; Arthropoda; Insecta; Coleoptera; Carabidae
Description: partial 16S ribosomal RNA
Rfam family: Bacterial large subunit ribosomal RNA (bases 1-592)
Source: RNAcentral